UACGAAGGGGGCGAGCGUUGUUCGGAAUUACUGGGCGUAAAGGGCGCGCAGGCGGCGCAAGAAGUCAGGCGUGAAAGCCCCGGGCUUAACCUGGGAAUUGCGUUUGAUACUCUUGUGCUGGAGUUCGGGAGAGGAGAGUGGAAUUCCCAGUGUAGAGGUGAAAUUCGUAGAUAUUGGGAAGAACACCGGUGGCGAAGGCGGCUCUCUGGACCGAUACUGACGCUGAGGCGCGAAAGCGUGGGGAGCAAACAGGAUUAGAUACCCUGGUAGUCCACGCUGUAAACGAUGUGUGCUAGACGUUGGGGAGCCUAGCUCCUCAGUGUCGCCGCUAACGCUUUAAGCACACCGCCUGGGGAGUACGGCCGCAAGGUUAAA
RNAcentral lists this ribosomal RNA (375 nucleotides) under uncultured bacterium. RNAcentral describes it as "bacterial SSU rRNA". It matches the Rfam family "Bacterial small subunit ribosomal RNA", at positions 524 to 898 of the family's 1533-position model. The record is from RNAcentral.